GAUGAACGCUGGCCGCGUGCCUAAUACAUGCAAGUCGAGCGAACAGACGAGGAGCUUGCUCCUCUGACGUUAGCGGCGGACGGGUGAGUAACACGUGGAUAACCUACCUAUAAGACUGGGAUAACUUCGGGAAACCGGAGCUAAUACCGGAUAAUAUAUUGAACCGCAUGGUUCAAUAGUGAAAGACGGUUUUGCUGUCACUUAUAGAUGGAUCCGCGCCGCAUUAGCUAGUUGGUAAGGUAACGGCUUACCAAGGCAACGAUGCGUAGCCGACCUGAGAGGGUGAUCGGCCACACUGGAACUGAGACACGGUCCAGACUCCUACGGGAGGCAGCAGUAGGGAAUCUUCCGCAAUGGGCGAAAGCCUGACGGAGCAACGCCGCGUGAGUGAUGAAGGUCUUCGGAUCGUAAAACUCUGUUAUUAGGGAAGAACAAAUGUGUAAGUAACUAUGCACGUCUUGACGGUACCUAAUCAGAAAGCCACGGCUAACUACGUG
RNAcentral lists this ribosomal RNA (497 nucleotides) under uncultured bacterium. RNAcentral's name for it is "partial 16S ribosomal RNA". It matches the Rfam family "Bacterial small subunit ribosomal RNA", at positions 28 to 507 of the family's 1533-position model. The record is from RNAcentral.